GUGCUCUCUUCUGCAGCACAUAUACUAAAAUUGAAAUGAUACAGAGAAGAUUAGCAUGGCCCCUGCACAAGGAUGACACGCCAAUUCAUGAAACAUAGGGAGAGGUA
This is a small nuclear RNA of Neomonachus schauinslandi (Hawaiian monk seal), 107 nucleotides long. NCBI's taxonomy places the organism in Eukaryota, Metazoa, Chordata, Mammalia, Carnivora, Phocidae. The record is from RefSeq and is a predicted model, not a curated record.